This 639-nucleotide ribosomal RNA is filed under the name Nostoc linckia AUS-JR/SD/MS-029. RNAcentral describes it as "bacterial SSU rRNA". It matches the Rfam family "Bacterial small subunit ribosomal RNA", at positions 96 to 769 of the family's 1533-position model. The record is from RNAcentral. Lineage: Bacteria; Bacillati; Cyanobacteriota; Cyanophyceae; Nostocales; Nostocaceae.
UUCGGACCGGGUCAGUAACGCGUGAGAAUCUAGCUUCAGGUCUGGGACAACCACUGGAAACGGUGGCUAAUACCGGAUGUGCCGGAAGGUGAAAGGCUUGCUGCCUGAAGAUGAGCUCGCGUCCGAUUAGCUAGUAGGUGGGGUAAGAGCCUACCUAGGCGACGAUCGGUAGCUGGUCUGAGAGGAUGACCAGCCACACUGGGACUGAGACACGGCCCAGACUCCUACGGGAGGCAGCAGUGGGGAAUUUUCCGCAAUGGGCGAAAGCCUGACGGAGCAAUACCGCGUGAGGGAGGAAGGCUCUUGGGUUGUAAACCUCUUUUCUCAGGGAAGAACACAAUGACGGUACCUGAGGAAUCAGCAUCGGCUAACUCCGUGCCAGCAGCCGCGGUAAUACGGAGGAUGCAAGCGUUAUCCGGAAUGAUUGGGCGUAAAGCGUCCGCAGGUGGCUGUGUAAGUCUGCUGUCAAAGAGCAAAGCUCAACUUUGUAAAGGCAGUGGAAACUACACGGCUAGAGUGCGUUCGGGGCAGAGGGAAUUCCUGGUGUAGCGGUGAAAUGCGUAGAGAUCAGGAAGAACACCGGUGGCGAAGGCGCUCUGCUAGGCCGCAACUGACACUGAGGACGAAAGUUAAAACCCC